RNAcentral lists this transfer RNA (67 nucleotides) under Anomalurus pusillus. RNAcentral's name for it is "tRNA-Cys". It matches the Rfam family "tRNA". From Rfam's summary of the family: Transfer RNA (tRNA) molecules are approximately 80 nucleotides in length. Their secondary structure includes four short double-helical elements and three loops (D, anti-codon, and T loops). Further hydrogen bonds mediate the characteristic L-shaped molecular structure. tRNAs have two regions of fundamental functional importance: the anti-codon, which is responsible for specific mRNA codon recognition, and the 3' end, to which the tRNAs corresponding amino acid is attached (by aminoacyl-tRNA synthetases). tRNAs cope with the degeneracy of the genetic code in two manners: having more than one tRNA (with a specific anti-codon) for a particular amino acid; and 'wobble' base-pairing, i.e. permitting non-standard base-pairing at the 3rd anti-codon position. Lineage: Eukaryota; Metazoa; Chordata; Mammalia; Rodentia; Anomaluridae. The record is from RNAcentral.
AGCCCUGAGGUGUAUCCACAUAUUGAAUUGCAAAUUCAGAGAAGCAGCUUCAAUCCUGCCGGGGCUU